CUCCCUCUUCACCCCAGCCAUCCAACAUUAGAAUUUCAAGUCACAUCAGUUCAGUUUACAUUCCAAGAGUAAAGACUUCGGCUCUCUAGGUCAGCCUAGCAAUUUUUCCCCCUUUCCACUUGUGUGAUAUUUUCACUCAGUGAAAGAAUAAAUACUUACCUUUUUUAAGCCUUCUUUUUAUCCCCCUCAGGUUUGGGAGUCUGCAACUUGCCUCUUCAAACACCACAGCUGCCGAUGUUGGUUCCCUAUGGCCUUUAGCUCUAGAAUCAUGGACAGUUUCUGACCAGGGACUCCGAACUCUUCAACAACAUGCACCAAAGUUUCAUGGGAACCCACUCAGUGCCAGGUCCCGUGUAAUGCCCUCCCCCUGUGUGUGGGUGGGACCCGUGACUCUGAUGGGAUGUCCCUCCCAUGAAAAGGUCUUGAAGAAACAAACAGCCAUGCUGGGAUCUGCUUAUGGAGAGAAGUGGCUUCUAGGGGAUGUUGGCCCUAGUCUUUCAGCAGCAAGGAACCAACAGGAUAAAAUGCUGGGAAUCUGAAGUUUGCCAGCAACCUGAAUGAGGCU
Long non-coding RNA from Manis javanica (Malayan pangolin), 565 nucleotides. RefSeq lists it as uncharacterized. NCBI's taxonomy places the organism in Eukaryota, Metazoa, Chordata, Mammalia, Pholidota, Manidae. The record is from RefSeq and is a predicted model, not a curated record.